CCUACGGGUGGCAGCAGUGAGGAAUAUUGGUCAAUGGUCGGGAGACUGAACCAGCCAAGCCGCGUGAGGGAUGAAGGUACAGAGUAUCGUAAACCUCUUUUGUCAGGGAACAAAGGCGGGGACGUGUCCCCGGAUGAGUGUACCUGAAGAAAAAGCAUCGGCUAACUCCGUGCCAGCAGCCGCGGUAAUACGGAGGAUGCGAGCGUUAUCCGGAUUUAUUGGGUUUAAAGGGUGCGCAGGCGGUCUGUUAAGUCGGCGGUAAAAGCCCGGGGCUCAACCCGGCCCCGCCGUGGAAACUGGCAGGCUUGAGUUGGAGAGAAGCAUGCGGAAUGCGUGGUGUAGCGGUGAAAUGCAUAGAUAUGGCGAAGAACCCCGAUUGCGAAGGCAGCAUGCCGGCGCCACACUGACGCUGAGGCACGAAAGCGUGGGUAUCGAACAGGAUUAGAUACCCGGGUAGUC
Molecule: ribosomal RNA, 459 nt
Filed under: uncultured bacterium
Lineage: Bacteria
Description: partial 16S ribosomal RNA
Rfam family: Bacterial small subunit ribosomal RNA
Source: RNAcentral